RNAcentral lists this ribosomal RNA (801 nucleotides) under uncultured bacterium. RNAcentral's name for it is "bacterial SSU rRNA". It matches the Rfam family "Bacterial small subunit ribosomal RNA", at positions 8 to 800 of the family's 1533-position model. The record is from RNAcentral.
AGAGUUUGAUCCUGGCUCAGGAUGAACGCUAGCGGCAGGCUUAAUACAUGCAAGUCGAGGGGUAGCAGGUCUGUAGCAAUACAGAUGCUGACGACCGGCAAACGGGUGCGGAACACGUACAGAACCUUCCUUCGAGUGGGAGAUAGCCCAGGGAAACUUGGAGUAAUAUCCCAUAGGAUCAUAGAGUGGCAUCACUCAGUGAUUAAAGAUUUAUCGCUUGAAGAUGGCUGUGCGGCUGAUUAGGUAGUUGGUGUAGGUAACGGCUCACCAAGCCUUCGAUCAGUAACUGGUGUGAGAGCACGACCAGUCACACGGGCACUGAGACACGGGCCCGACUCCUACGGGAGGCAGCAGUAAGGAAUAUUGGGCAAUGGAGGCAACUCUGACCCAGCCAUGCCGCGUGGAGGAUGAGGGUCCUCUGGAUUGUAAACUUCUUUUAUUUGGGAAGAAAUGCCGAUUUUCUAAUUGGUUUGACGGUACCAGAUGAAUAAGCACCGGCUAACUCCGUGCCAGCAGCCGCGGUAAUACGGAGGGUGCAAGCGUUAUCCGGAUUCACUGGGUUUAAAGGGUGCGUAGGCGGGCAUAUAAGUCAGUGGUGAAAUCCCCGAGCUUAACUUGGGAACUGCCGUUGAUACUAUGUGUCUUGAAUAUCGCGGAGGUAAGCGGAAUAUGUCAUGUAGCGGUGAAAUGCAUAGAUAUGACAUAGAACACCGAUUGCGAAGGCAGCUUACUACACGAUCAUUGACGCUGAGGCACGAAAGCGUGGGAGCAAACAGGAUUAGAUACCCUGGUAGUCCACGC